Molecule: ribosomal RNA, 460 nt
Filed under: uncultured bacterium
Lineage: Bacteria
Description: partial 16S ribosomal RNA
Rfam family: Bacterial small subunit ribosomal RNA
Source: RNAcentral
CCUACGGGUGGCUGCAGUGAGGAAUAUUGGUCAAUGGACGAGAGUCUGAACCAGCCAAGUAGCGUGAAGGAUGACUGCCCUAUGGGUUGUAAACUUCUUUUAUAUGGGAAUAAAACGUUCCACGUGUGGGAUUUUGUAUGUACCAUAUGAAUAAGGAUCGGCUAACUCCGUGCCAGCAGCCGCGGUAAUACGGAGGAUCCGAGCGUUAUCCGGAUUUAUUGGGUUUAAAGGGAGCGUAGGUGGAGUGUUAAGUCAGUUGUGAAAGUUUGCGGCUCAACCGUAAAAUUGCAGUUGAAACUGGCAGUCUUGAGUACAGUAGAGGUAGGCGGAAUUCGUGGUGUAGCGGUGAAAUGCUUAGAUAUCACGAAGAACCCCGAUUGCGAAGGCAGUUCACUGGACUGCAACUGACGCUGAGGCUCGAAAGUGUGGGUAUCAAACAGGAUUAGAUACCCGAGUAGUC